CGAGGUCAUUGCUAUCGGGGUCCGAUUUAGCCAUGCUAGUCGCACGGGUUUAGACCCGUGGCGAAUAGCUCCGUAACACGUGGCCAAACUACCCUAUGGAGAGUGAUAACCUCGGGAAACUGAGGCUAAUAACUCAUACCGCUCCCGAGCUGGAAUGCUGGGAGCUUCAAACGCUCCGGCGCCAUAGGAUGUGGCUGCGGCCGAUUAGGUAGACGGUGGGGUAACGGCCCACCGUGCCGAUAAUCGGUACGGGUUGUGAGAGCAAGAACCCGGAGACGGAAUCUGAGACAAGAUUCCGGGCCCUACGGGGCGCAGCAGGCGCGAAACCUUUACACUGCACGGGAGUGCGAUAAGGGGACCCCGAGUGCGAGGGCAUACAGUCCUCGCUUUUCUGUACCGUAAGGUGGUACAGGAAUAAGGGCUGGGCAAGACCGGUGCCAGCCGCCGCGGUAAUACCGGCAGCUCGAGUGAUGACCGAUAUUAUUGGGCCUAAAGCGUCCGUAGCCGGCCACGUAGGUCCGUCGGGAAAUCCACUCGCUUAACGAGUGGGCGUCCGGCGGAAACCACGUGGCUUGGGGCCGGAAGACCUGAGGGGUACGUCUGGGGUAGGAGUGAAAUCCCGUAAUCCUGAACGGACCGCCGGUGGCGAAAGCGCCUCAGGAAGACGGACCCGACGGUGAGGGACGAAAGCUAGGGUCUCGAACCGGAUUAGAUACCCGGGUAGUCCUAGCCGUAAACGAUGCUCACUAGGUGUGGCGCUGGCUACGAGCCAGCGCUGUGCCGUAGGGAAGCCGUGAAGUGAGCCGCCUGGGAAGUACGUCCGCAAGGAUGAAACUAAAGGAAU
RNAcentral lists this ribosomal RNA (844 nucleotides) under uncultured archaeon. Its description in RNAcentral is "bacterial SSU rRNA". It matches the Rfam family "Archaeal small subunit ribosomal RNA", at positions 19 to 865 of the family's 1478-position model. The record is from RNAcentral.